This 271-nucleotide signal recognition particle RNA is filed under the name Pongo abelii (Sumatran orangutan). Its description in RNAcentral is "Metazoan signal recognition particle RNA (ENSPPYG00000039986.1)". It matches the Rfam family "Metazoan signal recognition particle RNA". Rfam says of the family: The signal recognition particle (SRP) is a universally conserved ribonucleoprotein. It is involved in the co-translational targeting of proteins to membranes. The eukaryotic SRP consists of a 300-nucleotide 7S RNA and six proteins: SRPs 72, 68, 54, 19, 14, and 9. Lineage: Eukaryota; Metazoa; Chordata; Mammalia; Primates; Hominidae. The record is from RNAcentral.
GCUGGGCAUGGUGGCGUGUGUCUGUAAUCCCAGCUACUCAGGAGGCUGAGGAAGGAGAAUUGCUUGAACCCGGGAGGUGGAGGUUGCAGUGAGCUGAGAUCAGGCCAUUGCACUACAGCCUGGGCGACAAGAGCAAGACUCUGUCUCAAAAAAAAAAAAAAAAAAAUUGAGACAGAGUCUUGCUCUGUUGCCCAGGCUGGAGUGCAGUGGCAUGAACAGAAGGCUCACUGCAGUCUCGACAUCCUGGGCUCAAGCAAUCCUCCUGCCUCAU